GGACUACCCGGGUUUCUAAUCCCGUUCGCUCCCCAUGCUGUCGUGUCUGAAUGUCAGAAGCGGGCCAGGACGCCGCCUUCGCCUCAGGGGUUCCUCCGGAUCUCUACGCAUUUCACCACUACACCCGGAAUUCCACGUCCCUCUCCCGUUCUCUAGAACGACAGUCUGGCAUAACCCCUCGGCGUUAAGCACCGAGAUUUCAUACACCACUUGCCGUCCCAUCUGCACACCCUUUACGCCCAGUAAAUCCGGAUAACGCUCGCCACCUACGUUUUACCGCGGCUGCUGGCAC
RNAcentral lists this ribosomal RNA (292 nucleotides) under uncultured bacterium. Its description in RNAcentral is "partial 16S ribosomal RNA". The record is from RNAcentral.